CGGCCAGCGAGAGAAAAGAGCACAAGGCAGAGAAGAGGAAAGAGAGGAAGACGACGUCGCGUUAGGGUGUUGCAGAGGAAUGAUCUUAACUGGUCGGACGCCGGAUGUCGGCAUGGAGGAUCCGGAGGUGGAAGCGGCGACGGAGGUGAGGUCGCUAGAACUGGAGGAGGCAUAAGUUAUCUCCAUGCGCACCCGGCGUGCAUCGGAGGAAAAUAGAUAGGCGCAAAUGUGAAGGGCCACAAUGACUGUCGCGGAGAGAGAGAGAGAAU
RNAcentral lists this unclassified non-coding RNA (269 nucleotides) under Hevea brasiliensis (rubber tree). Lineage: Eukaryota; Viridiplantae; Streptophyta; Magnoliopsida; Malpighiales; Euphorbiaceae. The record is from RNAcentral.